GUGGGGAAUAUUGGACAAUGGGCGAAAGCCUGAUCCAGCAAUGCCGCGUGAGUGAAGAAGGCCUUCGGGUUGUAAAGCUCUUUUACCCGGGAAGAUAAUGACUGUACCGGGAGAAUAAGCCCCGGCUAACUCCGUGCCAGCAGCCGCGGUAAUACGGAGGGGGCUAGCGUUGUUCGGAACUACUGGGCGUAAAGCGCACGUAGGCGGUCUUUUAAGUCAGAGGUGAAAGCCCGGGGCUCAACUCCGGAAUUGCCUUUGAAACUGGAAGACUUGAACACGGGAGAGGUGAGUGGAAUUCCGAGUGUAGAGGUGAAAUUCGUAGAUAUUCGGAGGAACACCAGUGGCGAAGGCGGCUCACUGGACCGUUGUUGACGCUGAGGUGCGAAAGCGUGGGGAGCAAACAGGAUUAGAAACCCCUGUAGUCC
RNAcentral lists this ribosomal RNA (425 nucleotides) under uncultured bacterium. RNAcentral's name for it is "bacterial SSU rRNA". It matches the Rfam family "Bacterial small subunit ribosomal RNA", at positions 354 to 796 of the family's 1533-position model. The record is from RNAcentral.